This 206-nucleotide microRNA precursor is filed under the name Oryza glumipatula. RNAcentral describes it as "MIR812 microRNA precursor family". It matches the Rfam family "MIR812 microRNA precursor family". Lineage: Eukaryota; Viridiplantae; Streptophyta; Magnoliopsida; Poales; Poaceae. The record is from Rfam by way of RNAcentral.
AAAGACCAAAUUCUUCGGUUUUCGUGUUCAACGUUUGACCGUCCGUCUUAUAUGAAUUUUUUUAUGAUUAGUAUUUUUAUUAUUGUUAGAUGAUAAAAUAUGAAUAAUACUUUAUGCAUGACUUAUCUUUUUAAAUUUUUUCAUAAUUUUUUCAAAUAAGACGAACGGUCAAACGUUAGACACGGAAACCCAUGAAUUGAGUUUUU